Molecule: ribosomal RNA, 458 nt
Filed under: uncultured crenarchaeote
Lineage: Archaea; Thermoproteati; Thermoproteota
Description: partial 16S ribosomal RNA
Source: RNAcentral
CCAUACUUCCCAGGUGGCUCGCUUCACGGCUUCCCUACGGCACCAAWCACGGUCGCACCGUGACUGACACCUAGCGAGCAUMGUUUACRGCUAGGACUACCCGGGUAUCUAAUCCGGUUCGUGCCCCUAGCUUUCGUCCCUUACCGUCGGACCCGUUCUGGURAGACGCCUUCGCCACUGGUGGUCCCMCRAGGAUYACAAGAUUUCACYCCUACCCCCAAAGUACCUCUYACCUCUCCCGGUCCCAAGCCAAACAGUAUCCCCUARMAGCYUAACAGUUGAGCUGYCAGAUUUCCCAARGGACUUACUURRCCGGCUACAGACCCUUUAGACCCAAUAAUAAYGGUUAUYACUCGGGCCGCCGGUGUUACCGCGGCGGCUGGCACCGGUCUUGCCCGGCCCUUGCUAACASAUGYUUUUUAGGCAUMUGGACAGCCAACAUUAUAUGCUGGCACUCG